AACGCGAAGAACCUUACCAAGUCUUGACAUCCUUCUGACCGGUCUUUAAUCGGACCUUUCCUUCGGGACAGAAGAGACAGGUGGUGCAUGGUUGUCGUCAGCUCGUGUCGUGAGAUGUUGGGUUAAGUCCCGCAACGAGCGCAACCCUUAUUGCUAGUAGCCAGCAGGUUAUGCUGGGCACUCUAGUGAGACUGCCGGAGACAAUCCGGAGGAAGGUGGGGAUGACGUCAAAUCAUCAUGCCCCUUAUGACUUGGGCUACACACGUGCUACAAUGGUGGGAACAAAGUGAAGCGACCCUGCGAAGGCAAGCAAACCACAGAAAACCCAUCUCAGUUCGGAUUGUAGUCUGCAACUCGACUACAUGAAGCUGGAAUCGCUAGUAAUCGCAAAUCAGAAUGUUGCGGUGAAUACGUUCCCGGGUCUUGUACACACCG
This 435-nucleotide ribosomal RNA is filed under the name uncultured bacterium. Its description in RNAcentral is "bacterial SSU rRNA". It matches the Rfam family "Bacterial small subunit ribosomal RNA", at positions 958 to 1392 of the family's 1533-position model. The record is from RNAcentral.